RNAcentral lists this unclassified non-coding RNA (329 nucleotides) under soil metagenome. RNAcentral describes it as "partial contains 5.8S ribosomal RNA, internal transcribed spacer 2, and large subunit ribosomal RNA". The stretch from base 1 to 120 matches the Rfam family "5.8S ribosomal RNA", at positions 35 to 154 of the family's 154-position model. The record is from RNAcentral.
GAUGAAGAACGUAGCGAAACGCGAUAAGUAAUGUGAAUUGCAGAAUUCAGUGAAUCAUCGAAUCUUUGAACGCACAUUGCGCCCCUUGGUAUUCCGAGGGGCAUGCCUGUUCGAGCGUCAUUAUAACCCCUCAAGCUCAGCUUGGUGUUGGGGCCUGCUGCACUGGCAGCCCUUAAAAUCAGUGGCGGCGCCAUCUGGCUCUAAGCGUAGUAAUUCUUCUCGCUAUGGAGUCCUGGUGGAUGCUUGCCAUCAACCCCCAAUUUUUCUAUGGUUGACCUCGGAUCAGGUAGGGAUACCCGCUGAACUUAAGCAUAUCAAUAAGCGGAGGA